GUUGAACGCUGGCGGCAUGCCUUACACAUGCAAGUCGAACGGCAGCACGGGAGCUUGCUCCUGGUGGCGAGUGGCGAACGGGUGAGUAAUAUAUCGGAACGUACCCUAGAGUGGGGAUAACGCAGCGAAAGUUGCGCUAAUACCGCAUACGAUCUACGGAUGAAAGCGGGGGAUCGCAAGACCUCGCGCGAUUGGAGCGGCCGAUAUCAGAUUAGGUAGUUGGUGAGGUAAAGGCUCACCAAGCCGACGAUCUGUAGCUGGUCUGAGAGGACGACCAGCCACACUGGGACUGAGACACGGCCCAGACUCCUACGGGAGGCAGCAGUGGGGAAUUUUGGACAAUGGGCGCAAGCCUGAUCCAGCAAUGCCGCGUGCAGGAUGAAGGCC
This 387-nucleotide ribosomal RNA is filed under the name uncultured bacterium. Its description in RNAcentral is "bacterial SSU rRNA". It matches the Rfam family "Bacterial small subunit ribosomal RNA", at positions 28 to 416 of the family's 1533-position model. The record is from RNAcentral.